GACGAACGCUGGCGGCGUGCUUAACACAUGCAAGUCGAACGGAAAGGCCCUGCUUUUGUGGGGUGCUCGAGUGGCGAACGGGUGAGUAACACGUGAGUAACCUGCCCUUGACUUUGGGAUAACUUCAGGAAACUGGGGCUAAUACCGGAUAGGAGCUCCUGCUGCAUGGUGGGGGUUGGAAAGUUUCGGCGGUUGGGGAUGGACUCGCGGCUUAUCAGCUUGUUGGUGGGGUAGUGGCUUACCAAGGCUUUGACGGGUAGCCGGCCUGGGAGGGUGACCGGCCACAUUGGGACUGAGGGACGGCCCAGACUCCUACGUGAGGCAGCAGUGGGGAAUAUUGCACAAUGGGCGGAAGCCUGAUGCAGCAACGUCGCGUGCGGGAUGACGGCCUUCGGGUUGUAAACCGCUUUCGCCUGUGACGAAGCGUGAGUGACGGUAAUGGGUAAAGAAGCACCGGCUAACUACGUG
RNAcentral lists this ribosomal RNA (468 nucleotides) under uncultured bacterium. RNAcentral's name for it is "partial 16S ribosomal RNA". It matches the Rfam family "Bacterial small subunit ribosomal RNA", at positions 28 to 507 of the family's 1533-position model. The record is from RNAcentral.